RNAcentral lists this ribosomal RNA (428 nucleotides) under uncultured bacterium. Its description in RNAcentral is "partial 16S ribosomal RNA". It matches the Rfam family "Bacterial small subunit ribosomal RNA", at positions 51 to 509 of the family's 1533-position model. The record is from RNAcentral.
AAACAUGNNNUCGAGCGGUAAGGCCCCUUCGGGNAUUACACGAUUCGGCNCGACGGCUGAGUAACACGUAGGAACGUACCCCAAACUGAGGGAUAAGCACCAGAAAUGGUGUCUAAUACCGCAUGUGGUCUUCGGAUUAAAGCUUCGGCGGUUUGGGAACGGCCUGCGCAUGAUUAGCUUGUUGGUGAGGUAAUAGCUCACCAAGGCGACGAUCAUUAGCUGGUCUGAGAGGAUGAUCAGCCAGACUGGGACUGAGAACGGCCCAGACUCCUACGGGAGGCAGCAGUAGGGAUUUUUUUUUUUUUUGGAGGCAGCUCUGACGGAGCAACGCCGCGUGCAGGACGACGGCCAUUUGGUUGUAAUCUGUUUUUCUGUUGGACUAGACUUUUUUUUUUUUCUUUUUAUUAAUCCUUGGCUAAUUAUUUUGC